UCCGUAAUAUAUUUUUGUGUGCUAUUUUGUAAAAGGUUAUACUGGCAAUGAGAAAUAAUUUGUUGAAUUUAGAAGUCAAACUGAAAAGGAGCAGUAAUAUUUUACGUUCCUCUAGUAUUUGCGGUAAGUACGGAAGAACCGUGCGACCUCGUAACGUGUACCUGUGGCAUCUGGACAGGCGGAACGUGAACGCGAUAAUAUUUUCAGUUGCGAUCUAUUGGGUAUGCACAACGUUAUUUAUAGGGCAAUCAUGUGUUGAAAAUUUCCUAAUGCCAAAUUUUUAUGUAAUUAUCAAACCGGUGGCGAACAUGUCCGGGCUAAUGGAUAAAUAUUUUUGAUACACUGCGACGAUGGACGACGCCCCGGCUUUUGCUGCUCUCAUUGCUUGUCUUUUACUAUUUUCGACCGGCCUACAUUACCCGGCGUUGUGGUAUCUCUGGAACAAACUGUAUCUUAUCGACCCAAGCAAAAACGUUCUCCAACUUUACAACGAAACACGUUGAGGAGAGUUUUGCUUAAUAUUUGCAGAAAGAUGGGGUUUUAUCGGCGUACAUCGCUAAAGUUGUCUUAAGUUAUUUGCUGUCGGAAAUGAAAAGGAGAUUUUUCAGAAAAGAAGAUAUAUUUUUUUUAUUUUUCGAAACAACGUGACUUAUUAA
Cimex lectularius (bed bug) is the source of this 656-nucleotide long non-coding RNA. RefSeq lists it as uncharacterized. The record is from RefSeq and is a predicted model, not a curated record. The transcript has 3 exons. NCBI's taxonomy places the organism in Eukaryota, Metazoa, Arthropoda, Insecta, Hemiptera, Cimicidae.